Physeter macrocephalus (sperm whale) is the source of this 73-nucleotide non-coding RNA. The record is from the annotation of a RefSeq genome assembly. Lineage: Eukaryota; Metazoa; Chordata; Mammalia; Artiodactyla; Physeteridae.
UCCCUGACGGUCCAGUGGUUAGGACUCUGUGCUUUUACUGCCGAGGGCCCAGGUUCAAUCCCUGGUGGGGGAA